UUGAAGCUUUCACACUUCACACACACACACACACUGAGACACAGUCCCCCUUCCCUCUUCACUCUUCCAAUUUACUCAAAUUCAGAGGAAAUCAAGGCCCGUUUCACUUGAAUUCCUCUGCAGCAAGAUGUCCCAGCAGCCAUCCCAGACCAAGAGCCCAGCAGAUGAAAAUCACUCGGAGAUGUACAUUCGAGUUAAGCGCAGCAAGACCACUUACUUCUUGCAAUGCCUUCCCAGUGAAAAAGUUUUACAGAUCAAGGAGAAGUUGCAGAUCCUAAUUGAUCAACCAGUUAAUGACCAGCGAUUGAUUCUGUUGCCAAAUAAAGAAGUACUUGAUGAUUCAAAGUCAUUAGCUGAUCAGAAGGUUGAAAAUGAUGCAGUUGUGGCACUAACCUUGAGAAAAGAUGACAAUGAAUUUGAGGAUGUGAAUAUCGCGAGGCCUACUGAUUACUACCGUGAUGGUGACGGUGGCUCAAAUUGGUGAGAAGAACUAUGUUUGGAGCUGCUGAAAGCCUGAAACUUUACACUCAUAUUCACUGGCUCCUCAAUCCUCCUUUAAUUGAAGUUACACACGUUUGUACUGCGUGCAAUAGCUGUUGGAACAGUUCUUGAUGCAGCCUAUCUGUGCUUUCGCUGCCCGAUGAAUAAGAUGGAAUUUGUUAGUUGUGAGUAAUGUUGGACAAAUAUGGGACUAGAAAUUUGUUAAGACACUUAUAUCUAUUAACAUAUCCAAGUAGUUAGGGAGAUAAAGAUGGCGAUAAAUGUUGCAUUACCCGAAGUUGAAUUGGCGCAUUGGUGAAGUAAACAGCCAUAGUUGCAGAAGAAUGAUCCAUUUGGAGAUGGCCCUUGUGGAUGACAUUUACAUUUGUAACAAUUAUCAAUACAAACAUCAACGUUGUUUUGAUCCGAACAAUCUACUAGGCACUUAGCAAAGCAAUGAUCAUGCGGAACAAUUGGAUCGUCAGGCCAAGAGAAAGAAUCAUCACAAAAUACCAGGACUGUCAUAGCUGUUAGUAGUACUAAUGCUAGCCAUGCAGUCCUCAUUUUUUAGGUAUUUCCUGUGUAUUUGAUUAGCUUAAUCUAUUGCUAAAGUUAAGAGCAGUGUUUA
Molecule: RNA transcript, 1108 nt
Organism: Coffea eugenioides
Lineage: Eukaryota; Viridiplantae; Streptophyta; Magnoliopsida; Gentianales; Rubiaceae
Exons: 5
Source: RefSeq, a predicted model, not a curated record